RNAcentral lists this ribosomal RNA (486 nucleotides) under uncultured organism. RNAcentral describes it as "bacterial SSU rRNA". It matches the Rfam family "Bacterial small subunit ribosomal RNA", at positions 30 to 507 of the family's 1533-position model. The record is from RNAcentral.
AUUGAACGCUGGCGGCAUGCUUUACACAUGCAAGUCGAACGGCAGCGGGGGUGCUUGCACCUGCCGGCGAGUGGCGAACGGGUGAGUAAUGCAUCGGAACGUGCCCAGUCGUGGGGGAUAACUUGCCGAAAGGUAAGCUAAUACCGCAUACGUCCUGAGGGAGAAAGCGGGGGAUCUUCGGACCUCGCGCGAUUGGAGCGGCCGAUGUCAGAUUAGCUAGUUGGUGGGGUAAAGGCCUACCAAGGCGACGAUCUGUAGCGGGUCUGAGAGGAUGAUCCGCCACACUGGGACUGAGACACGGCCCAGACUCCUACGGGAGGCAGCAGUGGGGAAUUUUGGACAAUGGGGGCAACCCUGAUCCAGCCAUGCCGCGUGAGUGAAGAAGGCCUUCGGGUUGUAAAGCUCUUUCAGCCGGGAAGAAAUCGCGCAUUUUAAUAGAGUGUGUGGAUGACGGUACCGGACCAAGAAGCACCGGCUAACUACGUG